GAUGAACGCUGGCGGCGUGCCUAAUACAUGCAAGUCGAGCGAACGGACGGGAAGCUUGCUUCUCUGAUGUUAGCGGCGGACGGGUGAGUAACACGUGGAUAACCUACCUAUAAGACUGGGAUAACUUCGGGAAACCGGAGCUAAUACCGGAUGAUAUUUUGAACCGCAUGGUUCAAAAGUGAAAGACGGUCUUGCUGUCACUUAUAGAUGGAUCCGCGCUGCAUUAGCUAGUUGGUAAGGUAACGGCUUACCAAGGCAACGAUGCAUAGCCGACCUGAGAGGGUGAUCGGCCACACUGGAACUGAGACACGGUCCAGACUCCUACGGGAGGCAGCAGUAGGGAAUCUUCCGCAAUGGGCGAAAGCCUGACGGAGCAACGCCGCGUGAGUGAUGAAGGUCUUCGGAUCGUAAAACUCUGUUAUUAGGGAAGAACAUAUGUGUAAGUAACUGUGCACAUCCUGACGGUACCUAAUCAGAAAGCCACGGCUAACUACGUG
This 497-nucleotide ribosomal RNA is filed under the name uncultured bacterium. RNAcentral's name for it is "partial 16S ribosomal RNA". It matches the Rfam family "Bacterial small subunit ribosomal RNA", at positions 28 to 507 of the family's 1533-position model. The record is from RNAcentral.